This 253-nucleotide ribosomal RNA is filed under the name uncultured bacterium. RNAcentral describes it as "partial 16S ribosomal RNA". It matches the Rfam family "Bacterial small subunit ribosomal RNA", at positions 524 to 776 of the family's 1533-position model. The record is from RNAcentral.
UACAGAGGUGGCAAGCGUUGUUCGGAAUUACUGGGCGUAAAGGGCGCGUAGGCGGUCUUGUAAGUCCCGUGUGAAAGCCCCCGGCUCAACUGGGGAACGGCACGGGAAACUGCGAGGCUUGAGUUCGGGAGAGGGAAGCGGAAUUCCGGGUGUAGCGGUGAAAUGCGUAGAUAUCCGGAGGAACACCAGUGGCGAAGGCGGCUUCCUGGACCGAUACUGACGCUGAGGCGCGAAAGCUAGGGGAGCAAACGGG